Molecule: ribosomal RNA, 398 nt
Filed under: uncultured bacterium
Lineage: Bacteria
Description: partial 16S ribosomal RNA
Rfam family: Bacterial small subunit ribosomal RNA
Source: RNAcentral
GUACGUAGGGUGCGAGCGUUGUCCGGAAUUACUGGGCGUAAAGAGCUCGUAGGUGGUUUGUCGCGUCGUCUGUGAAAUUCCGGGGCUUAACUCCGGGCGUGCAGGCGAUACGGGCAUAACUUGAGUACUGUAGGGGAGACUGGAAUUCCUGGUGUAGCGGUGAAAUGCGCAGAUAUCAGGAGGAACACCGGUGGCGAAGGCGGGUCUCUGGGCAGUAACUGACGCUGAGGAGCGAAAGCAUGGGUAGCGAACAGGAUUAGAUACCCUGGUAGUCCAUGCCGUAAACGGUGGGCGCUAGGUGUAGGGGUCUUCCACGACUUCUGUGCCGUAGCUAACGCAUUAAGCGCCCCGCCUGGGGAGUACGGCCGCAAGGCUAAAACUCAAAGGAAUUGACGGGG